UGUUGUGUAGCUUAGUUGGUUAAAGCGCCGGUCUAGCGUACACGGAGUCGUGAGUUCGAGUCUCACUAGAACGC
Molecule: transfer RNA, 74 nt
Filed under: Aedes aegypti (yellow fever mosquito)
Lineage: Eukaryota; Metazoa; Arthropoda; Insecta; Diptera; Culicidae
Rfam family: tRNA
About the family: Transfer RNA (tRNA) molecules are approximately 80 nucleotides in length. Their secondary structure includes four short double-helical elements and three loops (D, anti-codon, and T loops).
Source: Rfam by way of RNAcentral